AUUGAACGCUGGCGGCAGGCCUAACACAUGCAAGUCGAGCGGAUGAAGGGAGCUUGCUCCUGGAUUCAGCGGCGGACGGGUGAGUAAUGCCUAGGAAUCUGCCUGGUAGUGGGGGAUAACGUCCGGAAACGGGCGCUAAUACCGCAUACGUCCUGAGGGAGAAAGUGGGGGAUCUUCGGACCUCACGCUAUCAGAUGAGCCUAGGUCGGAUUAGCUAGUUGGUGGGGUAAAGGCCUACCAAGGCGACGAUCCGUAACUGGUCUGAGAGGAUGAUCAGUCACACUGGAACUGAGACACGGUCCAGGCUCCUACGGGAGGCAGCAGUGGGGAAUAUUGGACAAUGGGCGAAAGCCUGAUCCAGCCAUGCCGCGUGUGUGAAGAAGGUCUUCGGAUUGUAAAGCACUUUAAGUUGGGAGGAAGGGCAGUAAGUUAAUACCUUGCUGUUUUGACGUUACCAACAGAAUAAGCACCGGCUAACUACGUG
This 484-nucleotide ribosomal RNA is filed under the name uncultured bacterium. RNAcentral describes it as "partial 16S ribosomal RNA". It matches the Rfam family "Bacterial small subunit ribosomal RNA", at positions 30 to 507 of the family's 1533-position model. The record is from RNAcentral.